CAUAUAGAAACAUAAGUGCGAAAAAUGCUCUAUUACGUUCUGUGGUGAUAAAGCUAUAACUUUUUUCUGUGCUGAAACUUAGAGUGCAUUUGGUUCACGCCAUAAAAGAUUAUCAGAAAGAAGAUGUUUUUAAGAAUUUAAGUUUUGCUUAUUCGAUUAUUAAGAAUUGACAUUUUUAGUAUUUGGUUAGCCCAGUCAUAUUAUUUAAGAUUAUUGAAAAUAUAAAAUUAAUAUGCUUGUUUCAUCAAUUAAUUUUAGAUAAUAUAUCAGUAAUACGAAUACUUUUACCUUUUCAACAAUCAUUAGAAAUUUAUGUUUAGAUUGAAUUGAAAGAGCUUAGUUUAGAGAGAGCCAUUUGAGGUGAAAGUCAGAGAGAGUUGAUAUUAGAGAGAGUGAGAGAGAUUAAGAGAGUUUUAGAUUAGAAAUGCAUGUGAAGAGGCAGAGAGAGCGAGAGUUUAGAGAGAAAUUUGAGGUUAGAUGAAGUGGAGGAUAGAGGGGAGAGAGGGAGAGAUGAGGUUAGAGAGAGAGAUGAUACUAGAGAGUAAAAGGGAACUGUAAAGUGACGGAGGUGGGGAGAGAGAAAAGAGUGUGUUUGGUUCGAAAUUUUAUGAUUAUCUCAAAUCAUUAAGAUAAAAAUAUGGGUAAACUUCAAAUACCAUUUUUGUGGUUUCGUACUUUUUUAUUUUAUUAGCAUGUGAUUUAAAGUGUAUUAAUUUAGUAUUCUAUGUUUUUUUUUUUUUUCCAUCAACCUUUUCGUUAACUUUUCGUUAAAUCACAUACAAAAAAAAUUCAGAUACUCUACCUAUAGUUUAUCGAAUAUUUACUUUAGUACCCUUUAGUUUUAACUUUGUCACUGAUUUAACGAAAAAAAUUAGUAGAGGGGAUAACAAAAAGAGAAAAAUAAAACUAUAGGAUAUGAAAAUGAUACAUUUUAAAUCACAGAAUAAUAAAGUAAGAAUGUGCGAAACUAUAAGGGUGGUGUUUGAAGUUUUCUCUAAAAAAUAUCCAUACUCUCCCAAAAGAAUGAGAUAUAUAAUUAACCUUUGUGAUGAAUCUUAUUCUCAAAUAAAUUCAGUAUUACCAAUCAAAUUAUAUGGUGCAUUUAGCAAAACAUCGUCGUAUUCUUUUAUUUCUUUUGAAUUAUCGAGAAUCUUAAAAAAAUUCAUGUGAAUCAAA
This 1176-nucleotide long non-coding RNA is filed under the name Ananas comosus (pineapple). Its description in RNAcentral is "long non-coding RNA (ACOM_LNC013881)". Lineage: Eukaryota; Viridiplantae; Streptophyta; Magnoliopsida; Poales; Bromeliaceae. The record is from RNAcentral.